CCAAGCCCUAUGAUUACCGUACCCCCCAGUGGGCGGGGCUUAGGGUUACCAUAGCAACAAAGGGGAGCAGCCAAUAGGAAGCCUUGCCUGCUUGCUCCGCUGUCAUCGCUGUGGGUCAAUGGGGAGAAGAUGGGGGGGAGCGAGCCCAUGGCGGGAACACGGACAGCCAAUGGGGAGCGGAGAAACACAAUGGAGGGAAACCGGCAGCCAAUGGGCGCCUGCCAAACAGGGAUGACGUCAUCAACCCGUAGAGGGACACGGAGCUCACCCGGAUGGAGGGGUCGCGCGUAUAUGACGUCAUCACCCCGCGCCCGACCAGUUGAUGACGUCACAGCGGCACUUCCGUUUUAUUCCAAGCGAUUUGGCCCCAAAGUCGCCCCGCCCCCACGUGGCAACACGUGACGUCACCGACCGCCCCGCCCACAUAGCAACACGUGACGUCACUGCCCCACACAUCAGCCCCACUUAUGGGGCAGGGCUCCACUUAUGGGUCACAGCCCCACUUAUGGGGCAGAACCCACUUAUAGGGCAGAGCCCCACUUAUGGGGCAGGGUUCCACUUAUGGGGCAGGGUUCAACUUAUGGGGCAGAACCCCACUUGGGGGACAAGGCUCCACUUGUGGGUCACAGUCCUACUACUUAUGGGGCAGGGCUUCACUUAUGGGUCACAGCCCCACUUGGGGGUCACAGUCCUACUUAUGGGUCGCAGGUCCAUUUAUGGGGCAGGGCUCCACUUAUGGGUCACAAAUCCACUUGUGGGUCACAGUCCACUUGUGGGUCACAGUCCUACUUAUGGGGCAAGGAUCCACUUGUGGGGCAGGGCUCCACUUAUGGGUCGCAGGUCCACUUGUGGGUCAGAACCCACUUAUGGGUCACAGGUCCACUUGUGGGUCAGAUCCUACUUAUGGGUCACAGGUCCACUUGUGGGUCAGAUCCUACUUAUGGGUCGCAGGUCCACUUAUGGGUCGCAGGUCCACUUGUGGGUCACAGUCCUACUUAUGGGGCAGGGCUCCACUUGUGGGUCAGUCCGUGGGUCCAUCUAUCCAUCUCCUGUGGGUCCACAUCCACUUGUGGGGCAGCGCUAUGGGGCAGAGCCGCGGAGUGUCGCUAUGGGGCAGUGCCCCACUUAUGGGGCAGAGCUUCACAUACUUAGGGGUUGCAGCCCCACUUGUGGGGCAGAGCUCCACUUAUGGGUCAGGACCCCACUUAUGGGGCGGGAUGCCACUUAUGGGUCGCAGCCCCACUUGUGGGUCAGAGCUUCACAUACUUGGGGGUCACAGCCACACUUAUGGGUCAGUCCAGGGGGGGGGGAGGUUACGACACUGUGGGGCAGAGCCAUGGAGUGUCGCUAUGGGGCAGCGCCCCACUUAUGGGGUAGAGCUUCACGUACUUAUGGGACACAGCCACACUUGGGG
RNAcentral lists this long non-coding RNA (1414 nucleotides) under Coturnix japonica (Japanese quail). RNAcentral's name for it is "lncRNA (ENSCJPG00005001875.1)". The record is from RNAcentral. Lineage: Eukaryota; Metazoa; Chordata; Aves; Galliformes; Phasianidae.